RNAcentral lists this transfer RNA (81 nucleotides) under Haemonchus contortus (barber pole worm). RNAcentral's name for it is "tRNA, Pseudo". Lineage: Eukaryota; Metazoa; Nematoda; Chromadorea; Rhabditida; Trichostrongylidae. The record is from RNAcentral.
UCCCUGAUGGCUCAAGGGGUAAAGAAUCUGCCUGCAAUGCAGGAGACACAGGAGACGUGGGUUCGAUCCCUGGGUUGGGAA